CAGUAGCCGCGGUAAUACGAAGGGUGCAAGCGUUAAUCGGAAUUACUGGGCGUAAAGCGUGCGUAGGUGGUGGUUUAAGUCCGUUGUGAAAGCCCUGGGCUCAACCUGGGAAUUGCAGUGGAUACUGGAUCACUAGAGUGUGGUAGAGGAUAGUGGAAUUUCCGGUGUAGCAGUGAAAUGCGUAGAGAUCGGAAGGAACAUCUGUGGCGAAGGCGACUAUCUGGGCCAACACUGACACUGAGGCACGAAAGCGUGGGGAGCAAACAGGAUUAGAGACCCCCGUAGUCCCUGUCUCUUAUAC
Molecule: ribosomal RNA, 301 nt
Filed under: uncultured bacterium
Lineage: Bacteria
Description: partial 16S ribosomal RNA
Rfam family: Bacterial small subunit ribosomal RNA
Source: RNAcentral